CCUACGGGAGGCAGCAGUGAGGAAUAUUGGUCAAUGGGCGGGAGCCUGAACCAGCCAAGCAGCGUGAGGGAAGAAGGUACAGCGUAUCGUAAACCUCUUUUGUCAGGGAACAAAGGCGGGGACUAGUCCCCGGAUGAGGGUACCUGAAGAAAAAGCAUCGGCUAACUCCGUGCCAGCAGCCGCGGUAAUACGGAGGAUGCGAGCGUUAUCCGGAUUUAUUGGGUUUAAAGGGUGCGCAGGCGGCCUGUUAAGUCAGCGGUAAAAGCCCGGGGCUCAACCCCGGCGAGCCGUUGAAACUGGGGGGCUUGAGUUGGAGAGAAGUGCGCGGAAUGCGCGGUGUAGCGGUGAAAUGCUUAGAUAUCGCGCAGAACCCCGAUUGCGAAGGCAGCGUACCGGCUCCACACUGACGCUGAGGCACGAAAGCGUGGGUAUCGAACAGGAUUAGAUACCCUGGUAGUC
Molecule: ribosomal RNA, 459 nt
Filed under: uncultured bacterium
Lineage: Bacteria
Description: partial 16S ribosomal RNA
Rfam family: Bacterial small subunit ribosomal RNA
Source: RNAcentral